UCAGGAGGGACGAAGCCACUCGGGUUAAUAGCCCAGAGGGUGACGGUACCUCCAGAAGAAGCCCCGGCUAACUACGUGCCAGCAGCCGCGGUAAUACGUAGGGGGCAAGCGUUGUCCGGAUUUAUUGGGCGUAAAGAGCGUGUAGGCGGCCAGGUAGGUCAGCUGUGAAAACUCGAGGCUCAACCUCGAGACGCCGGUUGAAACCAUCUGGCUAGAGUCCGGAAGAGGAGAGUGGAAUUCCUGGUGUAGCGGUGAAAUGCGCAGAUAUCAGGAGGAACACCGGUGGCGAAGGCGGGUCUCUGGGCCGAUACUGACGCUGAGACGCGAAAGCGUGGGGAGCGAACAGGAUUAGAUACCCUGGUAGUCCACGCCGUAAACGAUGGGUGCUAGGUGUGGGAGGUGUCGACUCCUUCCGUGCCGAAGCUAACGCAUUAAGCACCCCGCCUGGGGAGUACGGCCGCAAGGCUAAAACUCAAAGGAAUUGACGGGGGCCCGCACAAGCAGCGGAGCAUGUGGUUUAAUUCGACGCGACGCGAAGAACCUUACCUGGUCUUGACAUGCACGGGAAUGUCGUGGAAACACGCCAGCCCUUCGGGGCUCGUGCACAGGUGUUGCAUGGC
Molecule: ribosomal RNA, 620 nt
Filed under: uncultured bacterium
Lineage: Bacteria
Description: bacterial SSU rRNA
Rfam family: Bacterial small subunit ribosomal RNA
Source: RNAcentral